CCCCUGCACGAACGUCGACGGCUACCGAAGGGCAGACGAAAAGCAUCUCCGGCGCCUUAGUAACGCAAGACAUGGGUCAGCAAGAGGUAACCCUGACCGCCACGUCCCUCGCCGCGGCCCUGGGGGUGACGCUGACCCUGGGCUUCGUCUGCGGGUACCAGUUCAAGGCGUGGAGGAUAGAGUGGCUGAAGCGGAGGAGGGAGAGGCUGCAGAGGAAGAUCCAGCAGACGCAGGCGGAGAUCGACCUGCUGCAGAAGGGGCACUGAGGGCUCCUUCCUCAUACUGUCUGCUGCCCUCCAUUAUGUAAAUAGCUUUGUUAAUUCAUAUCACAAAAUAGGAAGUAAUUAACUUAAUUUAACGAAACUAAACAACCGUGCCACAUUUCUAACCCAGCUCAGGGCUUUGGUGAAGAGUAUUUUAUAGGCCGAAACAUAUUCAUUUAAAUAGAAUUUUGGGAAUACACAAGAAAAAAAUGAUCAUUGGUAGUCAGUCUGAAGAGGAUUUGCAGUCCAGCUAUCCAAAAGGUUGUGCUAUAUUAUGGCAGCUGGAGCAUGGGCCUCUCGAUUCUGGGACUGUGAGGGAAGGAUGCAAGACAUUUUACGGGGUGCAGCAUAUAUGUCACGUAAUACCUGGGAACAUUUGGAAAACAGAGUAUCUAACCAUGAAGAAUCAAGAAUUAUAAACUAUUGGUGCUAUUAUGGUGUCUUUGAAGUGUUAUUAUUUGUUUUAUACCUUAAGAACAGGGUUGAGGAGCUAACCCAAAGAAUGAAUUGACAAAUAAUUAUAGUUCUAAAUCAGUUGACAAUAUUUAUGUACAUGAAGAAUAAAACUUUGUAUGGCAUUUUAUACUUCUUUGUAUAUUAAUGAUUCCAUGUGAUGAAUUAUAGAUGAGUAAAUUC
Penaeus monodon (black tiger shrimp) is the source of this 899-nucleotide long non-coding RNA. RefSeq lists it as uncharacterized. The transcript is spliced from 3 exons. The record is from RefSeq and is a predicted model, not a curated record. Lineage: Eukaryota; Metazoa; Arthropoda; Malacostraca; Decapoda; Penaeidae.